This is a long non-coding RNA of Astatotilapia calliptera (eastern happy), 2024 nucleotides long. Lineage: Eukaryota; Metazoa; Chordata; Actinopteri; Cichliformes; Cichlidae. The record is from Ensembl.
CAAAAAAAUAAAAUAUAGAAUUAAAAAAAACUUGACAAAUGUAAUGCAGAGCAAAGAUAAUGUUUGAAGUCCCAGUACGAUGUGGAAAGGAAUUUAAUUUCUUUGUUACUGGCAAACCGGUUAGCCCUGUCUUCACUGCAAAUUACUGUCAAACAGACAACCAUGAAACAUUUCCUCAUACUACAACAUGUCCCAGCCUACUAUGACUUUCUUUUGUGCAGAGACGUUCUCACAUUUAUCAUGCCGCUCUCUGCGCUGGUGUUGAUGCUGCUGGUCUGCAGUGUUCAGGCUAAUUUUUACAGUAUAGUGGUGAACUACUAUCCACGUGGCAAUGUUUCAACAGGAUCUUCCACUGGCAUCCUUUAUUACAAGUUGGGCUACAGCUCCUGCUUGUAUAGUUUGCCCUACUCCAUCGGUGGUCAGACACUUGUUUUAGACAAGGUCGACGAGGAGAGUAUAGGAGAAUGGUGCCAAACUGAAGGAGUCAUCUCUCGGCUUUUUUCCAGCAACUCUAUAUUUUCAAUUCCGGUCUCUGGCAUAGACUGGAUCUUUGGCAUCAAAAAUGGCAUCGUAUCAUUUAAAAUUCAGGCUCUGGUGGAACUGAGGAUCCGCUCUGACAUCGGCAAAGCCAACACAUCACCACAGACCACUAUCAUACCAGCUAUCAGAGUUCCGUCAAACUGUCCAAGAAAUUUGAGCCUGUUGAUGUUUGAUCCUGAUGGAGACAUAGUGAAAUGCAGAAAUGGAGAUGCAUCACUCUCAGAGUGUAGUCCCUGCACACCACCGUCUGUCCUCAGCCUUUCACCAUCCUCUUGUACUCUGUCAUUCAGCCCCACAAACAGCAGUGAUGAAGGUCCGUAUGCGGUACAGCUGAUGAUAGAGGACUUUCCCAGACAGAACAUAACGUUGACUCAAACCAACGGGACACAAACAAUAAUAACAACCAACGACGCUAUCAGCAAAAUGCCAGUUCAGUUUGUCGUGAGAGUGGAUCCUGCAGUGCCAUCGUGCACAGAGGGACUCUUUCUACCCAUGUUCCUGCCUCCAACCCCAGCCCACAGAACCCAGCUCUACACCUACGUCAAUCAGACUCUGGCUAUCAGCAUCAAGGCACAGACACUUAACUCCACGAUCUCUGAGCUGCUGUUCAGCGCGCCGCACACAGUAACUCAAAAUCAAACAGGCCCAGGACAGUUCACACUGACGUGGACACCAUCUGAUUCAGUAGCUGAACAAAGCCACCCCAUUUGUUUUGUUGUCCAGGCAGUUUUAGGUGCAGCCAAGUACCACUCUGAGCUUCGAUGUGUCAUUGUGACCGUUAGAAAAGCAUUGCCAACUCCAUCACCCAAUACACCAGAGUAUGUUGCAGCGCUGAAAAUGAAGUUUUCCUCGUCGAUGGAUUUAUCUAAAAUCAAUACCAAUGUCUUCCUAAAUCAGAUUAAACAGAAACUGCAGUCAUACGGACUACCUGAUGACAUCAGUCUGCGCCUCAUAAGCAGUGUGCCACAGAUUGGUGUAACUGUGUCCUCUAAUUCUACAACAUGAACCUGAAGUCCUGCGUCUGCAUGCUCUUUCUUCACUGUGUAUUUACUAGUUCAAGACUUUUAUGUGGAAAGAUAAUAAAAAAUAUUACUUAUAACAGAUAUUUUUGCACUAAACAGGUCUGUCAUAUAACAUUCUUUAUAAUAUUAAAUUUUUAAAGGGAUCUUUCAAGGUUGAAAUUUAUGUUUACUAUUGAUUAAUCCUUCUUUGUUCUUUCUUCCAAUAUCCUUGUCUGGUGGGCUGUGUUCUGUAUGCAAGUGGUCGUGGAGGAUUUUUUUAAUCAUAUUUUUUACAUGAGUGUAAGGUUUGUAAACUGGUUUUGGGUGAAUCAGUUUCUUAUACAGUCGUGUUUAUUUGUUUGGCUUUAGAAAGCUGUUCUUCGAAGUCAUAGCAGCCAGUGGCUGGAAUGAAAAAACAAACAAAAAAACAAUCUCAGUCACAUUUCUGACUUCAAAUUAUUUUUCCUACAAAUUAAAUCAAAC